Molecule: unclassified non-coding RNA, 311 nt
Filed under: uncultured Sordariomycetes
Lineage: Eukaryota; Fungi; Ascomycota; Sordariomycetes
Description: sequence contains ITS1
Rfam family: 5.8S ribosomal RNA (bases 1-105)
Source: RNAcentral
GAAAUGCGAUAAGUAAUGUGAAUUGCAGAAUUCAGUGAAUCAUCGAAUCUUUGAACGCACAUUGCGCCCAUUAGUAUUCUAGUGGGCAUGCCUGUUCGAGCGUCAUUUCAACUAUCAAGCCCUAUUUGCUUGGCGUUGGGAGCUUGCCCUACCCUGUAGGACAACUCCUCAAAUAUAUCGGCGGAGUCGCGAAGACCCCAAGCGUAGUAAUUUUUUCUCGCUUCAGGUGUGUCGGCGCUGGCAUCCAGCCAUUAAACCCCCAACUUUUUAGUCUUGACCUCGGAUCAGGUAGGAAUACCCGCUGAACUUAA